RNAcentral lists this ribosomal RNA (229 nucleotides) under uncultured bacterium. RNAcentral's name for it is "partial 16S ribosomal RNA". It matches the Rfam family "Bacterial small subunit ribosomal RNA", at positions 104 to 334 of the family's 1533-position model. The record is from RNAcentral.
CGGGGUGAGUAAUGUCUGGGAGACUGCCCGAUGGAGGGGGGUAACUACUGGAAACGGUAGCUAAUACCGCAUAACGUCGCAAGACCAAAGAGGGGGACCUUAGGGCCUCUUGCCAUCGGAUGUGCCCAGAUGGGAUUAGCUAGUAGGUGGGGUAAUGGCUCACCUAGGCGACGAUCCCUAGCUGGUCUGAGAGGAUGACCAGCCACACUGGGACUGAGACACGGUCCAG